Molecule: long non-coding RNA, 2961 nt
Organism: Gadus morhua (Atlantic cod)
Lineage: Eukaryota; Metazoa; Chordata; Actinopteri; Gadiformes; Gadidae
Source: Ensembl
AUAAGCCACGGGUAUACCAGGGAGUCCGCGUCAAGACCACGGUGAAGGAGCUGCUGCAGAGACACAGAGCCCGGGCAGCGGACGAUAAGGAUCUAGCGGUAUCCCAGGGCUGCAUGGACAUCCCCAGCCUCUGCGUCGGCCUGUCCUCCCUUCAGAGUAAGUAGACACACGGUGCAGCCCAUCCCACCAAGUCAGCCGUCGCAUCCAUUUGCACCAGGCGGCUGUGUAUUGAGAGUCUCGGACUGAAAAGCUUACCAAGUGCAAAUCCGGUUGUUUUGCAGACGAUAGGAAGACGGGUGUGGGCGUUGUAGCCGUGACAUCAAGUUACCAGGGUAGUCCAAAAGAAAGUGCAUAUAUCUGCAGAUGAUAUGAAGUCUGCCCUCAUCCAUCAUCCCACAAUGAAAUCACUUAUUCGAAAGAGAAUUUCGGCCCUACAAUAAGUCUGAGCUGUAUUGCCAAGAAUGUGAAUGAAUUCUAGUUAACAAUUGAUAGGCACGUUCCCAAGUGCUGCGUAAUAGGUCCUUUUUUAUAAACAUGCACCCAAAUGCGUUGGCUGAUGGCAGAGUGACAUCACUUGUAUGCUCUUAACAUAUUUAAAUAUAUUCUUUUGUUUGUGAUUACACGCUCAUCUUGUUUUGCAUUUGCCUUACGGCAGACCACUACGUCGAUACCUCGGUUCUGCAGGCGGACGCCGAGUACAGCGUCCAGCUGACGGGGAGCGACGGGUACUACCAGCAGCACCAGUACGUGGACGGCGUGGUUCUGCCCACCGCCGAUCGAUACGGCGCGGAUAUCGGCGGCCAUCUCCCCCUUCUGACCCCCUCCACCUUCCCUCUGCCCGGCGCCCAGCUCUCUCCGGAGGCAGACUAUUAUAACGGAAUGGCUUCGUCCUCGUCUCCAGACUCAUUCCAGAUCUCCAGCCCAGUGGAGCACAACAGUUACUCGCCGCAGCAUUCCUCUUACUCGUCCUCCUCUUCCUCCUCUUACGACUCGCCGACCCGAGUGGAGCCCGGGUACCAGGGGUUCCCCGCCCUGGACCACUCUAACUACCAGCACUGCAGCUUUGCAGACUGCUACUGCCAGAUGCAGGCGCACUGCUGGCCGGCCCCGCAGGAGAGCCUUUGGGCGGCCGCGGAGUCCGCUUCCUACUACGGCCCCGCUGGCCCCGCCACCGGCACCACAGACUACCCCUACCCCGCAGAACAACACUGUCUGAAGAGGGGCUGGCCCAUGAGUUCAGACAUGUGCUACAAUAUACUCUGAUGAUGUGGAUCUUGAUGAUGUCUGUAAAUACAAUGCACUGCACGUGUUGUGGAAGAGCAGAAGACUGUGUCUGCAUAUUACCUGGUGUUCGACAGCUUUUUUCUACCAAAGUGUGGACUGACACAGUGAUGUGGGAACGUAAACGCCGUUUUUAUUUUUGUAUUACUGGAAAAUAAAACAUAUUUUUUAUACAGAUCCAAAGUUGUGUUAAUAUUUAAAAUCUGCAAACCAGCAUUUAUUUGAACAUAAAAUAUUUCAGAAGGCAAGCAAUAUUUUUUUCAAAAGUCCAUAGUCUAGCUUACUAUUAGGUAGUUCCUAUAUUUCCAUCCCUUUUCAAGAAGAAAAUAUAUUUUGGCUUUGUCUACUAACUAAUGAGAUGCAAUGGUUUAUUUGAUCAUAAACUCUCAGCCCCUCUUUUAUAGUGGGAACAGUUGGCUGAUAUCCCAUCUGCCAAACCGUCCGGUUCUUAAAUCAACACAGAUUAUCACCUCCAGCUGCCUGGACCUCGUCUUAUACUUUCUACAGUUGGACUCGACGGGGUCUAUCAAUUAUUUCCCUCUAGAACAAUCAAAAAAAAUAAAAAACGAAUUGUGGUUGAUUUGUGAUUUUAAUUUUUACAACCUGAAAAAAGUUAUAAUAAAAAAUAGGUCUGGGCCCUGCCCUGCUUCAAGAAGCAGCUAAGAAUAUCAUUAUAUACUCUAAUAUAUAGGCCUGGGCCCUGCCCUGCUUCAGGUAGCAGCUAAGAAUAUCAUUAUAUACUCAUAUACUCAGCAUAUUAAUGGCUAUAUAUAUUUAAAUAUUAUAUAUAGGCUAUUUACCGGUAAUAUGAUAUAGGCCUAAUACAACAAACUUAUCUAUGAAAGUCGAUGAGAACUGUAAACGUUAUCGGAUUUUUUAUCCAGAAAAACCGCAGCUCCCCUGUUUACUUGACUGGUUUUGCAAACCAGUCUUUGCCUCAGCGGGUCGAAGCUCAGUGCGACGUCUCUGUACAUGUGUCUAGGCACAUGUACGCUGGACCUUUAUAGAAAGAGCCGUUUCUAGGUUCAGCGUGCAGCAUUUAAGCAUCUAGCGGUAAGGUUGCAUAUUGCAACCAAGUGAUUACCCUCACUCCUCGAUUGAAAAAAGAGUAGGCCUACCUGUACCGGAAUAUGUUAUGCGAUUAAUCAGCCUAACCAAUCACGUUCGGGUAUCUUUGUCAUAGUCACCACGGAGACUGUACAUGUUUUUAUCCUAUUUACGUUUCACAACGUAGUGUUCUUAUAUUAUUGCAUGCAUAGUGGACACAACAUUCAUAAACCUGUAAUUAUCACUAUCUGUCAGAUGCAUUGAUCCUUCAUCUCGAUAGACCUCGAUAGAAGCCAAUGUUUCCCUGUUACUGCGGUGCGUGAAUAUAGGUUACUCUUGCAUUAGGGUUUGCAGUAUUAUGAAUGUUUCCAUUUGGAUACCAUCUUUCACAGAGAGUGAUACUACUUUUAGUUAUCAAUAGGGAAGCAUCCUAAAAAACUAAAAUCUCCAAAACAUGGAGAUAUUAAAGCGGACAUAUUAUUACUAAUGGCUUAUUCCUGGCCCUUCCACUUGUUCCACGUGUUAACCAUGAGAAAAUAAACAUCUGAUAUCUGGAAGUCCCCUGUCUUUCUAGAGUUUUGUUCCAAACAGGUUUAUUAGAACAGGCCUUCUUGAAAAGCGAUUUUAAAUGAG